UACAGAGGUGACAAGCGUUGUUCGGAAUUAUUGGGCGUAAAGCGCGUGUAGGCGGUCUGUUAAGUCAGAUGUGAAAGCCCAGGGCUUAACCCUGGAAGUGCAUUUGAUACUGGCAGACUUGAGUACGGGAGAGGGUAGUGGAAUUCCCAGUGUAGAGGUGAAAUUCGUAGAUAUUGGGAGGAACACCGGUGGCGAAGGCGGCUACCUGGACCGAUACUGACGCUGAGACGCGAAAGCGUGGGGAGCAAACAGG
RNAcentral lists this ribosomal RNA (253 nucleotides) under uncultured bacterium. RNAcentral's name for it is "partial 16S ribosomal RNA". It matches the Rfam family "Bacterial small subunit ribosomal RNA", at positions 524 to 776 of the family's 1533-position model. The record is from RNAcentral.